AGUGAACGCUGGCGGUAGGCCUAACACAUGCAAGUCGAACGGCAGCACAGUAAGAGCUUGCUCUUACGGGUGGCGAGUGGCGGACGGGUGAGGAAUACAUCGGAAUCUACUUUUUCGUGGGGGAUAACGUAGGGAAACUUACGCUAAUACCGCAUACGACCUACGGGUGAAAGCAGGGGAUCUUCGGACCUUGCGCGAUUGAAUGAGCCGAUGUCGGAUUAGCUAGUUGGCGGGGUAAAGGCCCACCAAGGCGACGAUCCGUAGCUGGUCUGAGAGGAUGAUCAGCCACACUGGAGCUGAGACACGGUCCAGACUCCUACGGGAGGCAGCAGUGGGAAUAUUGGACAAUGGGCGCAAGCCUGAUCCAGCCAUACCGCGUGGGUGAAGAAGGCCUUCGGGUUGUAAAGCCCUUUUGUUGGGAAAGAAAAGCAGCAGGUUAAUACCCCGCUGUUCUGACGGUACCCAAAGAAUAAGCACCGGCUAACUUCGUG
Molecule: ribosomal RNA, 491 nt
Filed under: uncultured bacterium
Lineage: Bacteria
Description: partial 16S ribosomal RNA
Rfam family: Bacterial small subunit ribosomal RNA
Source: RNAcentral